AGCGGCUCCUAGCCGCACGAACAGAGCAAUAACAGGUCUGUGAUGCCCUUAGAUGUCCGGGGCCGCACGCGCGCUACACUGAAGGAAGCAGCGUGUUUUUAUCCCUGUCUGUAAAGACUGGGUAACCCGUGGAACCUCCUUCGUGAUUGGGAUAGGGGCUUGCAAUUGUUCCCCUUGAACGAGGAAUUCCCAGUAAGCGCGAGUCAUAAGCUCGCGUUGAUUACGUCCCUGCCCUUUGUACACACCGCCCGUCGCUACUACCGAUUGAAUGAUUUAGUGAGGUCUUCGGACCGAUACCCGGAGCGGCCUUUCGGUUGCGCCGGUGUGUUGGAAAGAUGACCAAACUUGAUCAUUUAGAGGAAGUAAAAGUCGUAACAAGGUUUCCGUAGGUGAACCUGCGGAAGGAUCAUUA
Non-coding RNA from Ixodes scapularis (black-legged tick), 412 nucleotides. NCBI's taxonomy places the organism in Eukaryota, Metazoa, Arthropoda, Arachnida, Ixodida, Ixodidae. The record is from Rfam.